CACGUAUGUAACCUACCUUUAUCAGGGGGAUAGCCUCUCGAAAGAGAGAUUAAGCCCGCAUAAUAUGAAGACACAGCAUUGUGAUUUCAUCAAAUAUUUAUAGGAUAAAGAUGGGCAUGCGGAACAUUAGCUAGUUGGUAAGGUAACGGCUUACCAAGGCUACGAUGUUUAGGGGAUCUGAGAGGAUGACCCCCCACACUGGUACUGAGACACGGACCAG
This 220-nucleotide ribosomal RNA is filed under the name uncultured bacterium. RNAcentral describes it as "partial 16S ribosomal RNA". It matches the Rfam family "Bacterial small subunit ribosomal RNA", at positions 114 to 334 of the family's 1533-position model. The record is from RNAcentral.